Molecule: ribosomal RNA, 253 nt
Filed under: uncultured bacterium
Lineage: Bacteria
Description: partial 16S ribosomal RNA
Rfam family: Bacterial small subunit ribosomal RNA
Source: RNAcentral
UACGUAGGUGGCAAGCGUUGUCCGGAUUUAUUGGGUUUAAAGGGUGCGUAGGUGGGUAGGUAAGUCAGUGGUGAAAUCUUCGAGCUUAACUCGGAAACUGCCAUUGAUACUAUUUAUCUUGAAUACUCUGGAGGUAAGCGGAAUAUGUCAUGUAGCGGUGAAAUGCUUAGAUAUGACAUAGAACACCAAUUGCGAAGGCAGCUUACUACAUAGUUAUUGACACUGAGGCACGAAAGCGUGGGGAUCAAACAGG